This 21-nucleotide unclassified non-coding RNA is filed under the name Chlamydomonas reinhardtii. Its description in RNAcentral is "small RNA Cre_3308". Lineage: Eukaryota; Viridiplantae; Chlorophyta; Chlorophyceae; Chlamydomonadales; Chlamydomonadaceae. The record is from RNAcentral.
UGGCGAGGGCUUUGAGCGCGG